RNAcentral lists this long non-coding RNA (2712 nucleotides) under Olea europaea subsp. europaea. Lineage: Eukaryota; Viridiplantae; Streptophyta; Magnoliopsida; Lamiales; Oleaceae. The record is from RNAcentral.
AGACAGAGGAGAGAGAAAGAAAUGGAAUCGCGCGAAACUGGCAGAAAUUGUAAAACAGGAUGCCAACAAAUCAAGAAAAUGAUAUAAUAUUCUUUUCUCUCUCUAUAAAUACCCUCGUUCUCGACUCAAUUGGUUCUUUCUUCGCCACUUUCACUUGCCCGAGAGAGAGAGAGCCAUACAAAAGGUACCACAUUUCUUUUCUUUUCUUUUCUUGUCUUGUCUUUAUAUAUUUUUUAAUUUUUUUAUGUUUUCUUGCUUUAAGAAUAUUCCUCUUUUUUUCUUUAUUGGUUUCGUUGGUAAAUUGUUUGUGAAUCUUUAAUUAUGUUUAAUUAUUAUUGGGAUUAGGAAUUGCUAAUUGUGGAAAAAGAUUAAUGUUUUUUGUGAAAGAUCAAUUUUUUGGUAUUGGUUUGAAUUAUCUUUUUCUGGUAAAAUUUCGUUGACAUUCUUUUGGGGAAGCUGUUAUCUAUUUGUGUAAUGGUAAUUAAUCACAUUGUUUGUUGAUGAGGUGAAAGAGUAGUGACUUCCUCAGGGUGGAUUGGAAGAGAGAAUUAGUCUUUUUUGAACCUCGAAAGGGAGGUCCUCGUGAUUCCACCGGGUUUUUCAUGAAAUAUUAAAGAUCAUUCAUACAUAGCAUAGUCGAGGCUCGCCCACUUCUUAGUUCUUAGAACUAGUGUGCUCUGGAUGGAAGAGUUAACCGGAUAGGUGGGACGGAGUGGAGGAAACAGCUAGAUUCCAGGCGAUCGAGCUCUCUCUUCCAACAAUUUUUUGUCCCAAAAAUCCACAAGAACAUUCUAUGGUCUUGGUAAGAGAGGGAUGAGUUAAGGUUUUACUUGUAAGUUACCACAUUUGUUUAAGGAUUCUUAAAUUUUUUUGGAGUAAAGGAUCAUCAACGAGUCUAUUUUUAGCGUGUUACUCUUAUUCAAGUAUGUUUGAUGAUGCCAUGUGAAUCACCAGAAACAUGUGAAGCAUAUGGUUAAUAACUAUCUAAUAACAGAAGUUUCAUAAUGGGACCAGAGCAAGUUGCCAUGAGACGAAGAUAUUCGUUGUAAAGAGAGUCAAUUUCUUAAAUGUCCAAGGUUCAAUAGAAUUGAGAGGUCUUCCCUGUUUUAAUCCGUCCGCUUUCUAAGUUUUACGAUCAAGUCACUCAUUCUUAUUUGCUUCAUUUGAUAGCUAAUUGCCUUUUUUUUCAUGCUACUUCUCCCAUGUCUUAUUUUGCUUAUACAUUCUAGAGUUGGGAACUCAUAUAGUGAAUGCCUUCGAGUUUCCCAAUUUCUUUAUUCUCUUAUUUAAUUGUUCAGUGAAUUUCUUUUGAGUUUUAUUAAUUCAUCUGCAACUUGUUUUGACUUUUGAAAUCUUCUCAUAUGAAUUUAAAAGCCUUUGCUUUUUUCAAGUCGAGAACACAGGGGAGUGUUAAAGCUUAUACAAUAUAGCUGACGCACCACUUGCUAAAUUAAUGGCAUAAGCCUACAGCCUUUUCAUUUGUAACCUUUUGGGUUUGAGUUGAACGCACGGUACACUACAGAUAUUACUUUUUUCUUUCUAUAUGCAACAUUAGAAUUUCACUCGAAAUAUUAUGUUCUAGGACAACUCAUGCUAAUAUGAAAUACAAGUUGGUGCAUACUCACUUUGAAAGUUGAAUACAGAUGUAACUACAUUUCAAUUUCCAUUUUAGUAAAAGUUUUGCAAAGGUGAUUUUUUCUCUAUUCCAAUUGUCCUUCUUUGCUCUGUUUAUUAAAAGUGAAUCUCUUUUAUGCAGAGCAGUAGUUACAUUAAAAUCCUUCGUCAUAUCUAACCAUACAUAAAGAGACAACCUUAAGAGAUCAUUUGAAGAAACAAGUUGUUGAUAGUUUCCCUUUCAACAGAAAGGGGAUGGUUUUUCAUUCUAGUCACUAUGGAAGUUGAUAUUGGAAUUUCCUGCUGCAACAAGAAUAUAACUUUGGAGAAUCCGACACCAGUUAAUGAAUCGAAAAGGCCAGGAGAAAAUCACAUGAGCACUUCUGUGUUCGUAAAUCAUGGUAAGUCUUGCUUUAAUUAUCUGUGUACAGAAUUGAGCAUAUAAAGAUAAUCAUGACAUGAGAAAGUUAACAUUUUUUAUGUCUACCCUUGCUGCCUUUAUUGGUACACAGAUUGAAAGUUUAUCAAAAUAGAUAACUGAAUUAGAGGUUUUCAAGGAAAAAUUAUGUGUGUGUAAACUAACAAAAGAAAGGAAAAAGUAAGGGGCUAAAUAUUUUAAUGAUUUUAGUCAUAUCCAUGGCUAUUGUACAUUAAAGUAAAUAGCGUGAUUCAUAAUGUGUUGGUCAAAUAUACUUAACAAAGCCUGUUAUCUGGUUACACGACUCUCUUCUUCCACUGCAUUGUUUCAAUUUCCAAAGUUAAACCGUGGAGGUGCAUAUCCUUUUUAAUUACCUAAUUCUGUGCAUUUUAGGUUGACCUCUUCGUCGAAGCAUAUCAUUAAUACCAGUGUGAUUGCUUUUUUGACUGGUGCAUCUGGUGACUUUUGAUGAAUAUAUUCAAACUAUAUCCAGUGUUCCAAUAUAUGCCACUUGAAUUUAUCUUCUGUUAUAUUUAUAGAUGCUUGUGUAAUGUGGAAGGUCACGGGUUCGAAUCUUGCAGCUAACCUGUUCUAAAAAUUUCAUUUGUCAAACUUGAAGACAAAUGGUUGACACAUAAUCCGACUUGUUGAAAAUACACAUAUAAAUAAAGAAAGUUCUC